CUACGGGUCGCAGCAGUGGGGAAUAUUGGACAAUGGGGGAAACCCUGAUCCAGCAAUGCCGCGUGUGUGAAGAAGGCCUGCGGGUUGUAAAGCACUUUCGGUUGGGAGGACUGCUUCUAGCACUAAUAUUGUUGGAAGUUGACGUUACCUUCAGAAGAAGCACCGGCUAACUCCGUGCCACGCAGCCGCGGUAAUACGGAGGGUGCAUGCGUUAAUCGGAAUUACUGGGCGUAAAGCGCGCGUAGGCGGCUAGAUCAGUCGGGUGUGAAAGCCCCGGGCUUAACCUGGGAACUGCAUCCGAUACUGUCUAGCUUGAGUACAGGAGAGGAGAGUGGAAUUCCACAUGUAGCGGUGAAAUGCGUAGAUAUGUGGAGGAACACCAAUGGCGAAGGCAGCUCUCUGGCCUGAUACUGACGCUGAGGUGCGAAAGCGUGGGGAGCAAACAGGAUUAGAUACCCCCGUAGUC
This 466-nucleotide ribosomal RNA is filed under the name uncultured bacterium. Its description in RNAcentral is "partial 16S ribosomal RNA". It matches the Rfam family "Bacterial small subunit ribosomal RNA", at positions 339 to 795 of the family's 1533-position model. The record is from RNAcentral.